AUAAAAUGUGGUACCUCCUCAAUCAACAUUGACACAAAAAAUAUAAGGACUUACAUUUGGAGACAGACAUUAACACAUUGUUUUAUGUGCACAAAACUUUAGAAGAUUUGUAAACCCUUCACACCAUUGAUUUUUCUCCAUUUCAAAGGAGAAAAGGUAGAAGAAAAAGAAUCCCUUUAAAAGGAAUAGCAGUAGGUAAGACUAAUGGAGUGCUAACCGUGUGCCAGACACACCAUCACGAUGGCCUCAUGAUGCUGGCACAAUUUUAAUUUUAGAUUGAAGGCUUAGUAGACACAUGGAGCAACUUGACCAAAAUCAAGUAUUUUGCUAGUUGUAGAACCACAAUUUGAUCUCAGACUGCCUGACUCCAGAGCCCAUAAUCUUAACCAAUUUGUUAAAUAAAAUAUAUAGACAAGCGUCACAAGUCUUAUAUUUCAAAUACCCUAAUGCAUGAUGCUUAUUUCUUUAUAUUUCUUUCAAGAAGAAAACACAAAUAAAAUCCAUCCAAAAGAGUCUUCACUUGGAGAAGCACUAAUCAAUGACAAAGAAGAACCUCUGUUCCUGUGAAUUUCAAAUGCAUCCACAUCAAAACUAAUAGUCAAAACAAAAACCCAAGUUGUUGUAUAAACUCCAGCCAUACGCAGUGAUCACCUUAGUUUUAUAACAGUAGAGACAGCAACAGGACACUGGUAAGUGCUUCUGGCAAUGACAAAAAUUCUUUUGAUCUUAAUCUCAAUGUCUUCAAAUUGUGACUUUUAAGUCUUUUUAAUCAAACUGGCUUUAGAAGUAUUCUCCAGGCAACAUUCAGAGAUUCUCUGCUUUCUGAUUAGUGUCCACUGUGUCCACCUUUUAGCCCUCUCAGUUGAUGACAAGACUGAGCCUUAAAAGGGGAGCAGUAAAUGAGAGCUGACUUGGGGACCCCAGGUGCUACUUAUGCCUCAUUGAUGAUUUACUUCUCCUCCUCAGUCACCUGAUGAAAUCUAGCCCUCUCCCUUCUUCCCCUCUUUCCCAAGAUAUUUACCCCCUUACUAAGAAGGGGUCAGGAGCUGGUCUGGCAGGAGCCACCGGAGUCUGGUCCAAGUGGGGCUUCGGGGGACACUCGGGUACAGAGAAAGCACUGGGGUUUGGAGUUACACAGGCUUAAAUUCUGCCUUUAUUUCUUACUGGCUGUAUUACUCCAGGCAGGUCAAUUGACCUCUCUGAGACGCAACGUUUUGUUCCACGAAAUGUGGAUAACAAAGCCCAUCUCGUAAGACUGUUAAAAAUACCCAUAAGUCAAUGUAUGUAAAGCACCUAUCGCAGUGCUGCAUUCAUGCCAGGUGCUCAGAUAGUUUCUUUCUUUUUAUCCCCACUUAUCCUUUCUCCUGAUGCCAGCAGCCUCUCUGGAGAUCAGGAGCCCUCUUCACCCUGAGUCAUGUUCACCCCGCUGCCU
RNAcentral lists this long non-coding RNA (1432 nucleotides) under Homo sapiens (human). Its description in RNAcentral is "HSALNT0047860". The record is from RNAcentral. Lineage: Eukaryota; Metazoa; Chordata; Mammalia; Primates; Hominidae.